CCUACGGGAUGCAGCAGUGGGGGAUAUUGCACAAUGGGGGGAACCCUGAUGCAGCGACGCCGCGUGGGUGAAGAAGCGCCUCGGCGCGUAAAGCCCUGUCAGCAGGGAAGAAAAUGACGGUACCUGAAGAAGAAGCCCCGGCUAACUACGUGCCAGCAGCCGCGGUAAUACGUAGGGGGCAAGCGUUAUCCGGAUUUACUGGGUGUAAAGGGGGCGCAGACGGCGAUGCAAGCCAGGAGUGAAAGCCCGGGGCCCAACCCCGGGACUGCUCUUGGAACUGCGUGGCUAGAGUGCAGGAGGGGCAGGCGGAAUUCCUGGUGUAGCGGUGAAAUGCGUAGAUAUCAGGAGGAACACCGGUGGCGAAGGCGGCCUGCUGGACUGCAACUGACGUUGAGGCCCGAAAGCGUGGGGAGCAAACAGGAUUAGAUACCCCAGUAGUC
This 440-nucleotide ribosomal RNA is filed under the name uncultured bacterium. RNAcentral describes it as "partial 16S ribosomal RNA". It matches the Rfam family "Bacterial small subunit ribosomal RNA", at positions 338 to 795 of the family's 1533-position model. The record is from RNAcentral.